RNAcentral lists this ribosomal RNA (465 nucleotides) under uncultured bacterium. Its description in RNAcentral is "partial 16S ribosomal RNA". It matches the Rfam family "Bacterial small subunit ribosomal RNA", at positions 28 to 507 of the family's 1533-position model. The record is from RNAcentral.
GACGAACGCUGGCGGCGUGCUUAACACAUGCAAGUCGAACGGAAAGGCCCCUUUGGGGGUACUCGAGUGGCGAACGGGUGGGUAACACGUGCGUAACCUGCCCUUGACUUCGGGAUAACUUCAGGAAACUGGGGCUAAUACCUGCUAGGAAUCCUUGCCGCAUGGUGGGGGUUGGAAAGCUUGGGCGGUUUUGGAUGGACUCACGGCUUAUCAGCUUGUUGGUGGGGUAGUGGCUUACCAAGGCUUUGACGGGUAGCCGGCCUGGGAGGGCGACCGGCCACAUUGGGACUGAGAUACGGCCCAGACUCCUACGGGGGGCAGCCGGGGGGAAUAUUGCACAAUGGGCGGGAGCCUGAUGCAGCAACGCCGCGGGCGGGAUGACGGCCUUCGGGUUGUAAACCGCUUUCAGCAGGGGAGAAGCUUGUGGUGACGGUACCUGCAGAAGAAGCACCGGCUAACUACGUG